Molecule: transfer RNA, 75 nt
Filed under: Candidatus Woesearchaeota archaeon
Lineage: Archaea; Nanobdellati; Candidatus Woesearchaeota
Description: tRNA-Ile
Rfam family: tRNA
About the family: Transfer RNA (tRNA) molecules are approximately 80 nucleotides in length.
Source: RNAcentral
GAACCCGUAGCUUAACCUGGUUAGAGCGCUGGUCUUAUACACCAGUGGUUCCCGGUUCAAAUCCGGGCGGGUUCA